Molecule: ribosomal RNA, 247 nt
Filed under: uncultured bacterium
Lineage: Bacteria
Description: partial 16S ribosomal RNA
Rfam family: Bacterial small subunit ribosomal RNA
Source: RNAcentral
AUACGUAGGUGGCAAGCGUUGUCCGGAUUUACUGGGCGUAAAGGAUGCGUAGGCGGAUAUUUAAGUGAGAUGUGAAAUUCCCGAGCUUAACUUGGGAGCUGCAUUUCAAACUGGAUAUCUAGAGUGUGGGAGAGGAGAAUGGAAUUCCUAGUGUAGCGGUGAAAUGCGUAGAGAUUAGGAAGAACACCAGUGGCGAAGGCGAUUCUCUGGACCAUAACUGACGCUGAGGCAUGAAAGCGUGGGUAGC